Molecule: long non-coding RNA, 2204 nt
Organism: Canis lupus familiaris (dog)
Lineage: Eukaryota; Metazoa; Chordata; Mammalia; Carnivora; Canidae
Exons: 3
Source: RefSeq, a predicted model, not a curated record
CACCUGGGGCCGGUGUGAGUGCUGCAGGAGGGAGGGCAUGGAGCUCCUCGGCCCCUCCCGGACCUUGCCCUACGCCUCUCCUACACCUGGCUGGUCCCCGACUUACAUGCUCUUAUAAACCAGCCACGUAGCGGAUAAGAUGUUCCUCCGAGUUCUACGCCAAGCGAUGACUUACACAGAGAACGUGUCUGCAGAAAGCCAGGCCACCGCUCUGGGCAUCUGUUCCCGUCACAGAAAAAGGGAAGAAAAGAGCAGCAAGAAGAGGCCAAUUAGGGAUGCCCGGGUAGCUCAGCAGUUGAGCAUCUGCCUCCGGCUCAGGGAGUGAUCACAGGGUCCUGAGAUCGAGUCCUGCAUUGGGCUCCUCACGCAAGAGCCUGCUUCUCCUCUGCCUGUGUCUCCGUGUCUCUCAGGAAUCAAUAAAUACAAUCUUCAAAAAGAAAAAAGAAUGUGAAAAGUUAGAUAUCAAUUUAAAUCAUCAUCAGACCUUUAACCUUACAAAAACAAAACAAAACUGAGUUUCAAACGGAUGGCAUGGGGACACCUAGGAGGCUCAGUGGUUUAGUGCCUGUGUUGUGUUGUGACCCCGGGGUCCUGGGAUCAAGUCCCCCAUCGGGCUCUCUCUGCCUGUGUCUCUGCCUCUCUGGUUUCCCAUGAAUAAGUAAACUUUUUUAAAAAGAGGGGAGCAAUAGAAGUCUUUAAAUGUUUUAUUUAUGGCAAUGCUACAACUUUCCCCCUUUUCAGUAAAUCUAAAGAGCUCAAGCAUUCAUACGUUGGCAUCAUAGGUGAACUGUUCACGGGUCAAACCCUUCACCUCCUAAGGGACAAGGUGAGCACGUUCAUAGUCUACCAGAGCUCUCAGAGGCCUCGUAAAGUCGGUUUUCACUGCAAUCUUUUGCCUUAUACGUCUCCUCCCCAUAUAGGGAGAACCCCGGUUCCCACAAAGGCACUUGGCUCCCUACUUACCUUGGAAGUGGGAUUACCACACCACCUGCUGGCCAAGAUCUAGAACAUGUGCACAUACACAGAAAGAGCCCUGAUCUGUUCCAUUCUUACUUGGGAGUGUCUAGUAACAGUUCCUUUCCUCGUAACCACGUAAAACACUUUGAGAAUACGAUCCCCAGCUUUAUAUACGCAUUUCAUGAAAAUGGUAUGGACUGAAAAGAAAAGGCCCGUGUAAUAGAGUCAUGCAUUUCCAGCUCAAUUUUAUACUUUGGGCCCAGGGAACGAGUGGGAAGUGGUGGGAAAGGAUGUCAGAAUUUCAAAGCAAUGACUUUAAGGCCGUUCUGUGGUGCCAGGCCAAGCUCAAGUACUCGCACUACUGGAUUCUCCAACUGCCUUAUGGUCAUAACGACUGUCUUCUCUAUGUCAGCCAGACAUUAGUCAAAAAGACUGUCUUCCACAGGGUCACUGGAUGCUCUUGGUCACAUGCUACUUUGACAACAUCCUCACACUCACGUUCCUCUUGCCCACGCACUGAACGUAAACGGUAUUUAUUGGCUCUUAUGUGGCAAAUUAAAAUUAUCUAGAGGUUGGCUCCAACUUUCAAGCAAUUUCAUAUGGAACUGCAAAAGUUUGUGUUUUAUUUUCUACAUUCCAGCCCAUCAUAGUUUAGUGAGUGUUUUUUUAAGAUUUCAUUUAUUUAUUCAUGAGAGACAGACAGAGAGAGAGGGACAGAGACACAGGCAGAGGGAGAAGCAGGCUCCAUGCAGGGAGCCCGACGAAGGACCUGAUCCCUGGACUCGAGGAUCAGGAUCACCCCCUGAGCCAGAGGCAGACACUCAACCAGUUAGUCACCCAGGCCGCUAGUGGGUGCUUUUUAAAAGUACAACUUAAAUUCAGAGACUUUCCUUAGAAAUGUAUUGAAAUCACAUUCUUCAUAAGGGAUCCAGAUCUACUUGCAAAGUAGCUUUUAUGAACUUCAGCUAGAUUUGUCACACAUGUAAGUCUAGAAGCAUUCAUGGUUCAGAAGCUUGAAAACUGAAGGGCAAGGAUGGUUCCCCUCCAACCGUGUAGGAUAAGGUCCUGCAAAAUGCCCUGAACAGGAGAAAUUUGGGAUCACGUUAUCAGCACUACUUGUAGAGGAAAGGAAGGACUGAGUUUGCAACUGAAUUUUCCAAAGAUCUUCUGUUUGUUUUGUUUUGUUUUGUCUUAAUUUUUUAUUGGAGUUCAAUUUACCAACAUAUAGCAUAACACCCAGUGCUCAU